RNAcentral lists this long non-coding RNA (399 nucleotides) under Erythranthe guttata (spotted monkey flower). RNAcentral's name for it is "long non-coding RNA (EGUT_LNC002923)". The record is from RNAcentral. Lineage: Eukaryota; Viridiplantae; Streptophyta; Magnoliopsida; Lamiales; Phrymaceae.
AGCUCUGCUCGGGCAAGAAUGGGAUGAGCGCGUCGUCGACACGCGCCGCCCUGGCGAAGUGCGUGAGGAACGGAAAAGAUAUGAGGAUGAAGGUGAGGUGCAUGGCGACGAGCAUCCCGGCAGACAGAGUUCCCGACAUGGGAAAGAGGGAGCUCAUGAAUUUGCUUCUCCUCGGCGCUCUCGCUCUUCCGACCGGCGGGAUGUUGUUUCCUUACACUUACUUCCUCGUUCCACCUGGGUAUGUUUUUUUUCCUCUUCAAUUUUUUUUUUUUGUUGAAACUAAUUUAAUUCGAUUUAGUAGUGAAUAAUUAAUUGAGUCGAUUUAGAUGAAAUUGACAUUGCUAAUUUUGAUUAUUUAUAUGCUCGUAAUUCGAAGGAUUCGCCGGAGAUUAUCUGAAA